UAAGGUGUGGCUCAGUGGUAGAGCACUCGCCUGGCAUGUGUGAGGCACUAAGUUUGAUCCUCAGCACCAUAU
This 72-nucleotide transfer RNA is filed under the name Marmota marmota marmota (Alpine marmot). It matches the Rfam family "tRNA". From Rfam's summary of the family: Transfer RNA (tRNA) molecules are approximately 80 nucleotides in length. The record is from Rfam by way of RNAcentral. RNAcentral also lists the same sequence under 1 other name. Lineage: Eukaryota; Metazoa; Chordata; Mammalia; Rodentia; Sciuridae.